This 872-nucleotide unclassified non-coding RNA is filed under the name uncultured soil eukaryote. Its description in RNAcentral is "sequence contains 5.8S rRNA gene, ITS2, 28S rRNA gene". The stretch from base 453 to 872 matches the Rfam family "Eukaryotic large subunit ribosomal RNA", at positions 1 to 418 of the family's 3401-position model. The record is from RNAcentral.
GACCGUAGACGAUGGAUGACUAGGCUUGUACACCGAUGAAGAGCGCAGCUAGCUGCGAUAAGUAGUGUGAAUUGCAGAAUUCUGUGAAACACUAAAUUCUUGAACGCAUCCGGCACCUGUGAGCAAUCACAGGUACACUUGGUUGAGUGCGGUUUCAUCAAUUCUUCAAAAACACCAAUCGUGUCUUUUGAAGGUGUUGGGGUGCUCGGUUUGUCUGAAAUUCAGACUCACACAACCGUUCCCUCAAAUAUCCCCUCUUCGAAUAACUAUUCGAUUGAUUGGCCAUUCCAACAAAAGGAAUCACUGAUCGCUGGUUGAAACGAUCAAAGGUUUUACUAGCAAGUGAAAUCCUGGAAUGCGAUUCACAUCAUGGAGUAUUAUUCACUUUUCCAGCGAUGGAAAAAAAGAGGGAGGUAGAUGUCUCCUUUUUUUUAAAAAGGAAUACAUAACCUUGACCUCAAAUCAGGUAGGACAACCCGCUGAACUUAAGCAUAUCAAUAAGCGGAGGAAAAGAAACUAACAAGGAUUCCCUUAGUAACUGCGAGUGAAGUGGGAAAAGCUCAUACCCAAAUCUGGCGUGGUUUACUGCGCUCGAAAUGUAGUGUUAGGAUUGGUACACGGUUUGAUCCGCAAGAGAAAGUGUGCUGGAACGCACCGCCACAGAGGGUGACAGCCCCGUACUCUUGCUGGUGUCUUUCCUACUGUACUUUUCUUAGAGUCGGUAUGUUUGAGAGUACAUACCUAAGUGGGAGGUAAACUCCUUCUAAAGCUAAAUACGGGUACAAGACCGAUAGCGAACAAGUAGCGUGAGCGAAAGUUGCAAAGAACUCUGGAGAGAGAGUUAAAGAGUCCCUGAAAUCGUCUACGGGUAA